Molecule: RNA transcript, 10776 nt
Organism: Cuculus canorus (common cuckoo)
Lineage: Eukaryota; Metazoa; Chordata; Aves; Cuculiformes; Cuculidae
Exons: 4
Source: RefSeq, a predicted model, not a curated record
CCCCGGCCCCGCACUCCCCUUCUCCCCACACCCAGCGACCCUCCACCGCUCCUCCGCUGCCGGCCCCGCACGCCCCUCCUCCCACCGCACCGCUUCCCCGGCCCCGCAGCGCCCCCUCGCCCCUUCUCUCCGCUCCCCUGCGCCCACCCGACCCUGCAGCGCCCCUUCUGCCCCGGCGCCGCUCCCCACACCGCCCCUUCCCUGCCCGCACCGGCUGUGCUGCCCUCUGCCGUCGUCGCUGUCGCUGUCGUCUCUCUCGCUGCGCUCCCGCUUCCUCCCUCGCCUUGUGCCCCACAGCACACGGCUGAUCAGCCCCCCCAUCGCCCCGGAACGGGCCCGGGGACCGGGAGCUCCGGCCGGAACCGGCGGCUGUGCCUCGGCAGCGCCCGCUACUUGCACCGGCACCGGCAGCGUCUGCUUCGGAACGGCCGGGACAGAAUCACCAGGUUGGAAAGGACCCACUGGAUCAUCGAGUCCAACCAUUCCUAACACUCCCUAAACCAUGUCCCUCAGCACUUCAUCCACCCGUUCCUUAAACACCUCCAGGGAAGGCGACUCAACCCCCUCCCUGGGCAGCCUCUGCCAGUGCCCAAUGACUCUUUCUGUGAAGUAUUUUUUUUCUGAUAUCCAACCUGAACCUCCCCUGGCGGAGCUUCAGGCCAUUCCCUCUUGUCCUGUCCCUUGUCACUUGGGAGAAGAGCCCAGCUCCCUCCUCUCCACAACCUCCUUUUAGGUAGUCGUAGAGAGUAAUAAGGUCUCCCCUCAGCCUCCUCUUCUCCAGGCUAAACAACCCCAGCUCUCUCAGCCGCUCCUCGUCAGACGUUCUCCAGCCCCUCACCAGCUUCGUUGCUCUUCUCUGGACACGCUCCAGAGCCUCAACAUCCUUCUCGUGGUGAGGGGCCCAGAACUGAACACAGUAUUCGAGGUGCGGUCUCACCAGUGCCGAGUACAGAGGGAGAAUCCCCUCCCUGGACCUGCUGGUGACCCCAUUUCUGAUCCAAGCCAAGAUGCCGUUGGCCUUCUUGGCCCCCUGGGCACACUGCUGGCUCAUGGUCAGUCGCUGUCAACCAUCACCCCCAGGUCCUUCUCCUCCGUGCAGCUCUCCAGCCACUCUUCCCCCAGUCUGUAGCUGCACAGGGUUGUUGUGCCCCAAGUGCAGGACCCGGCAUUUGGCCUUGUUGAACCUCAUGCCAUUGGCCUCGGCCCAGCGGUCCAGCCUGUUCAGAUCCCUUUGCAGAGCCUCCCUACCCUCCAGCAGAUCCACACUUCCUCCCAGCUUAGUGUCAUCUGCAAUUGUUUAACAGGUAGCAGUCCUUGGUUGUUACAGCAUUUUCGUGGCAUCUUCUUCCUCCUCUGAUUCCUCGCCAGCCCGACAGCUCGGGCCGCCCCGCACUUGAUCAGCGCAGCCGCUACUGUGGGCACUUCCGGUUCCUGUGUCAUUGCACUUCCGCCCUCUGAUGGGUGAACAUCGGGUGCCUCCGGCGCAACGGGGCCGUUUAUGUCCUCAGACGCAUUCCCCCUUUUUACAGUCGGAUUUAAGAGCUCGCAGACGCCGGUACAAACUUUCCCAGUCAUUCCUUUCAUUGGGUAAUUCUGGCUCACCCCAAAGAAAGCACUCGUACGACUCGUGGUGCGAUGAGGUUCAGCCGGGGGAUUGGGGGGGGCUGUGGCGCGCACAGCGGCAGCGGCGACUUUUGACUCCGCCUUCAGCGCUUGUAAAGUAUUAAGGACAGUUCGCCAAGUUUCCCCACAGCCCCCAAAAGGCUCUUUGCCCCUUUUCGUGAUCGUGCAGUCCCCUCGAACAGCUUUAACUUCCUUUUCAUCCUUAUCUGUUCUUGAUAUAGUCUUUUGCCACAACGUUUCUCCAGGACCUGGACAGGACACCUUACAGGCAGCCCCUGGGCCUUGCAGAGGAGGUUGUGGUCUGAGAGCAUCAGGAAAUCAUAGAAUUGUUUGGUUGGAAAAAAACUUUGAGAUCAUCAACACAGUUGUACCUGUCGAGUGCUAAAUCAUAUUCCUAAGCAUGAAGCUGGAGCGUGCAGGCCUGUGCUUGCCGAUGCCUCCAGCCUGGCAGCUCUCUCUCCAUCCAUCCAUCCACCUUUCUCCAUUGUCUGUAGUCCUGCUGGAGCUGCUGUUGGGGGCAGCUCUGCAGGUGUGUGUGCAGGGGGUUGUUCCCUGUUGGCACCUGCAGCCCAGGGCAAGUUACACCAGCAGCUCUUCUUUCCCCCGCUGUGCCCUGCAGCUUCUCCGCCGUCAUGCACAAAACAGUGAAGCAGUUGUCUCCAAAGUGCGAGGUGACCUUCCUCCAGUCGGAAGAUGGCAGCGGCAAGGGCGCAGCGCUCAUCACGGCGGUGGCCUGCCGGAUCCGGGAGGCUGGCCAGCGACAGGAGGAAGGAGGUUUGCCGAAGAGCUUGGUUUCAGCAGAACAGGACGUUUCCCCCCCACCCCCGGUCCCUCCCUCCGCACACACACAUACGAGGCCUCCCCUUGCAAGCAGACUCUCGGCUUUACUUGUUCCCGCGAGAUACCACCAGUGGGACUGGAGAUGCUGUGUACUUUAUAGAAAGAGCUGUCGUAGGAGUUUCAUUGCAUGCCAUAAAACCGCGUGUCGAGUAAAGCUCAAAGCGUCUUUUGGCUGUCUGCCUACAUUCCCAGUUAGAGCUGGACCUGUUCCACUUGCAGCCUCCAUCAAACACCAGCUCUCCUCCCCACAUCUCCUAACCACUCUCCCACCUUCCCAAACAGCAGAAAGGGUAAUGCUGGAAUAAUUAAGACACUGCAUUGUCACUUUACAGUAACCGGUACCUAUUUAUGUCUGUCGUAGCGUGUCCAUGCUGUAGAAAGCAAACCUCUCCAAGAUUGGGCUAAAGACCUCCGUUAGUCUUUUACCCUGAUCAAGGCUGUAUUAUUUCCAUGAAAGUCAUGGUAACUUUUCAAGCACAGGGUGCAGAAUUCCAACCGGCGUGUUCCGGGUCUGCACUGGGAGAUACCAGGUAUCUCUGUUGGUGAGCAAUAUUAAAGAACCUGCUGGCUCCGAGUUAGAGGCGCCCCUUUAACGGCGCCAGCAGAGCACGUGCCUGGAAAUAAUUGGGGACUCGGGGUCUAAUCCCAUUUCCCGACCUCUCACCUCACCUGCACCCUAGAGUGUAGUCACGUGGCAUGUCCGUAUGGUUGUGUUGCACCUCUGAAAACCACUGGCACCCUUCCCUGGUGCAUGUGCGGAUACAGGAACCACCACCCGGCCGGGUCGCUCUCUUCCCUGCAGAUCCGCACAUCGUGGCCGUGUGUCUGUGCUUGGCGCGGUGAGUUUGGUUUGCUUUUUGUCUGUGAAAUAGUUCUGCGUCUUCAACCUUUUAGGUGACACCUGGAUUUACACACUGUAUAUUUAUGUUUCAAGAGAUCUGAUGUCUUUGUAUGUACAUAGUCUGGGGGUUAUAUUGCUUAGUUUUGGCUUCACCUUUCGAUGUCCCUGAAGAAUGGUAUAGAGAACUUAUUUUCUUUUUCUCUCGUGGUAUUUUUUUAAUUUAAAUUCUUUUUAGGGUAGAUUGGAGAGAGAGACACCCAUAUUCCUGAGGAUGGGCAUUCUGAAUUCAUCACCAGGACAAAAGGGAAACUAAGAAGGCAGGGAUGCGCAGCGCGGGGAGCAGUCGGGCCCUGCAGCAGCGAAGCUUUCAGGAUUAGGCUGGGAGGACCUGAGGAGAGGUUUUUCUUUUGUCCCGCUGCCCUCAUCGCUCUGGAAGGCGCCGCUGUUCCCUGUGGCAGCACGGGGUAAAAUAACGUCGGGCCCCCUCGCAUUGUCCCGGGACAGCAAACCGCGGCUCGAGCACCGCUGGGGUGCGUGUUUCGCAGCGAGACGCUGGCAAAACCAAUCCCAACUCCUUCCAUCAAGUAAGCAGCAAUAGCUGAUGUCACUCCAUGGCCCUUUGGCAUCCUCAGGGCUGUCGGCAAGCGCUCCUGGGGCCGUGGGUGCCCAUAGCAUCAUUUUGUGUGUCCCAGGGAAAAGCAGUGAUUAAUUCUUGCCUUAGAAUUAAGACGCCUUAGGACAAAGCUGCAGCAAUGCUGGAGCGGGCGGAGGCACAUGGGAGGGGCUGUAAAUAUUUAGCAGAAGAGAAUGAAGUUCCGAUUCUGUACAACUAUAAUAAUUAAUAAUUCCCAGGAGCAGACCUUCACUUUGGAGGACAGAGUUUUUGUUUAUUUUGAUGUAUAUUUUUACACUGCUUGGGGUACCCUCAUUCCCAGGAGUCUCUCUGCUGUCUUGGGGGUCACGUGCAGUAGCACAAUUUUAAAGCAAAAAUCACUCUUCGGGCAUUUUAAAUGCUUAUUUUUAUAUAAGCCUCAAGACAAUUAUAACAAAGCAAAUCUGACUGUGUAUAGAAACAAUGUAAGAAACCAAGUUCAGUGAAAAGUUUUAGAAGAUGUUAAAUAAAUUUUGGAAAGAUGAUCCCCCCCCCCCUUCUCCCCACACCCAGCGCCCCUCCACCGCUCCUCCGCUGCCGGCCCCGCACGCCCCUCCUCCCACCGCACCGCUUCCCCGGCCCCGCAGCGCCCCCUCGCCCCUUCUCUCCGCUCCCCUGCGCCCACCCGACCCUGCAGCGCCCCUUCUGCCCCGGCGCCGCUCCCCACACCGCCCCUUCCCUGCCCGCACCGGCUGUGCUGCCCUCUGCCGUCGUCGCUGUCACUGUCGUCUCUCUCGCUGCGCUCCCGCUUCCUCCCUCGCCUUGUGCCCCACAGCACACGGCUGAUCAGCCCCCCCAUCGCCCCGGAACGGGCCCGGGGACCGGGAGCUCCGGCCGGAACCGGCGGCUGUGCCUCGGCAGCGCCCGCUACUUGCACCGGCAGCGUCUGCUUCGGAACGGCCGGGACAGAAUCACCAGGUUGGAAAGGACCCACUGGAUCAUCGAGUCCAACCAUUCCUAACACUCCCUAAACCAUGUCCCUUAGCACUUCAUCCACCCGUUCCUUAAACACCUCUCUGUCGGAGGAGAGAGGGUGAAAAUUCCUGGUCACAACGCGAUGUGGAGUAUGAGAGUCCAGUUAUGGAUCUUGUUGACAUCUCUAACCAGUCUGACGUCUUUCUGACUCGAAGCAAAGAAAAGGCAUCUCAGUGCAGGUGAUGGCUCUGUGUGGGACAGGGGGACAUCAAUAAAGCCAAAGACUGUGGGGCUGCUAACAGGAACAAGAGACUGUAGAUUCACCUGAUGUUGUUAUUUCGUGUUUACAAUAUUUAUUUUUAGUAACUGACUGCUAUUAUAUUAUAGAGAGGCUUCCUUAUUUUUGUACUUCUCCUCCCGGUUUCCUCAGUGUGGUGGUGUACCUCUCAAACAACAUCAAAUCCAACUUCAAUUCCAUUACAUAGCCAUUCCUACACCUUCAGCAGAUCCCCUCUCUGUGAUGACACACAACACACUACUCAGAAACAGGAUCUUAUUCCUCUCACCAGUCCCUGUGAGGCUCCUUGGCUUUGUAACUCCUCAUUUUCAUAAGUAUUUGCCAUUUUAGUAAACAGCAUCAUAAAAAGGCAAUCCUCGCCUUCUCGCAUCUGCCAUGAACAGAGAGAGCAGCACCUUCCUGUCAUUUACCAAACUACACACAGUCACUGGAGAGACGAGGGACACCAACAUUCCGACUGAGACAGUCUGUUCAACAAGGCAGAGAAGUCCUCAUUUCAUGGAGCGUUAUUUUUAACCUACAGAAGCAUUUUACCUAUAGCAACAGAGUUCCAAUGACAGAGCAUGAAUUGAGAUACAAAUCUGACGGACAUGAUCGGUAACUCCGCCACAAAAUUCCACCUCACAAGACCAUCACUGGUACAAUCAGGCCUCGCCAAAACCAAUUCCCAACUUUCAAAUUCUGUUCAAAAGUGAUUUAAUACUCAGUUUUAGUCAUCAACCCACACUAAGUUUUCAGGACAAGCUUCACCAACUCGAGACGUAGCAACAAGUCGAACAGGUCAAGGGAGGGGAUUCUGCCCCUCUGCUCCUCUCUUGUGAGGCCCCACCUGGAGCCCUGUGUCCAGUUCUGGAACCCCCAAUGUAAGAAGGAGAUGGAACUGUCGGAAUGGGUCCAGAGGAGGCUACAAAGAUGAUCAGAGGGCUGGAGCACCUCUGCUAUGAGGACUGGCUGAGAGAGUUGGAGUUACUCAGGCAGAGAGGAGAAGGCUCUGAGGAGACUCUAGAGCAGCUUCCAGGACUGAAAGGGGCUCCAGGAAAGCUGGGGAGGGACUUUUUACAAGGGCAUAGAACAACAGAAGGAGAGAAAAUGGCUUUAAAUUGGAAGGGAGAAGAUUUAGACUAAACAUUAGGAAGAAAUUCUUCACAAUGAGGUUAGUGAGCCACUGGCCCAGGUUGCCCAGAGCAGUGGUGGCUGCCCCAUCCCUGGAAGUGUUCCAGGCCAGGUUAGAUAGGGCUUGGAGCCCCUGAUCCAGCUGGAGGUGUCCCUGCCCAUGGCAGGGGGUGGAACUGGAUGGGCUUUGAGGUCCCUUCCAACCUAAACCAUUCCGUGAUUCUAUGAUUCCAACAACAGAAUCGCAACGACGAUGACUAAAAACACCAUCGCCAGGCACAGCCAGGGCUGAAGCGGCACCAGCCCCCCUAGGAUGCUGUGCACCCUCGGUCUGAGCACCUAGCCCCGCUGCCAUCCUCCGUUCCCUGCAGAGGGUCAAUGGGGCGGAGGAGAAAUGCAGCCGCACCCACCUGCUCCAACCUACCCUUAGCCCUAGCCAGAGGCGGCCGUGGGUCAGUCCUUGGCUACAGCCAAAUGACCUCCCUGCCCUCUUGUUGUGAUCUUUAACAGGUUCCAACACCCGCAAAAUAAAAUGCUUUUUCCUACAGGAGAGCAAUGACAGUUCCCAGGUAAUUUCUGUACCGGCACUGGAAUCACAGCACUGAUAAAUCGAUGGAUGUGAUCUAUCCGGACUUCUGUAAAGCCUUUGACACAGUCCCCAUAACAUCCUUCUCUCUAAAUUGGAGGGAUAGGGAUUUGACGGGUGGAUGGUACAGUGGAUAAGAAACUGGUUGCAUGGUCGUAUUCAGAGAGUAGUGGUCAGUGGCUCAAAGUCCAGAUGGAGAUCCCUGACAAGUGGUGUCCCUCAGGGGUCCAUACUGGGACUGGUGCUGUUUAAUAUCCUUAUCAAUGAUAUAGACACCGAGAUUGAGUGCACCCUCAGCAGGUUUGCAGACGACAUCAAGCUGAGUGGGGCAGUUGCCACACCGGAAGGAUGGGAUGUCAUCCAGAGGGACCUGGACAGGCUGGAGAAGUGGGGGCUGUGAGAACCUCAAGAGGUUCAACAAGGCCAAGUGCAAGGUCCUACACCGGGGUCAGGGCAAUCCCUGAUCUCAGUACACGAUGGGAGAUGAUGUGACUGAGAGCUGCCCUGCAGAGAAGGACUUGGGGCGCUGGUCAAUAAGAAGAUCAACAUGAGCCGGCAACGUGCGCUCGCAGCCCAGAAACCAACCGUGGCCUGGGCUGCAUCCAAAGCAGCGUGGCCAGCAGGGCGAGGGAGGGGAUUCUGUCCCUCUAUUCCUCUCUUGUGAGACCUCAUCUGGAGAAUUGUGUCCAGUUCUGGAAUCCUCAACGUAAGAAAGAGAUGGAGCUGUUGGAACGGGUCCAGAGGAGGCUACAAAGAUGAUCUGAGGGCUGGAGCACCUCCCAUAUGAGGAGAGGCUGAGAGAGACAGGCUGAGAGAGUUGGGGUUGUUCAGCCUCAAGAAGAGAAGGCUCCGAGGAGAUCUUAUAGCGACCUUCCAGUACAUGAAGGGGCUACAAGAAAACUGAAGAGGGACUAUUCAUAAAGGCUUGUGGUGACAGGAUGACGGGGAACGGGUAUAAACUGGAGAGGGGCAGAUUUAGACUGGACAUUAGGAAGAAUUUCUUCACCGUGAGAGUGGUGAGACACUGGAACAUGUUGCCCAGGGAAGUUGUGACUGCCCCAUCCCUGGAGGGGUUCAAGGCCAGGUUGGAUGGGGCUUGGAGCCCCUGAUCCAGUGGGAGGUGUCCUUGGGCAGGGGAUGGAACUGGAUGACCUUUUACUCUUCUUGCUUCAAAUGGAUUCUUCCAGGCUCAGGCUCCCACUUUACAACCAACAGCAUAAUGGAAUCAGAUAUUUCAAGACAAAGGUGUGGCUUCUCCCUGCUCCUGUCACAUGACUCAAGAUAGCAGCACCUCUUUGCUCCCAAAACACAGAAAGUAACACAGAGAACUUCACCCUCUCACAAGCCCAAAAUAAAACACCUGUGGAAACAGCACCAUUUUUUUGCAGAUGAGCACUAAGAUUCAUUCCUUUUCAGAGCUUCUGUGCAAUAAAACAGCAAGAGAGCCUUCAUUCAAAGACAAAGGCUGCGUAAAAAAUACAGAGACCUAAGGUUCCUACACUCGAGUUCCAUCGGACAGCUAUGCUUCCUAACAUUACUAUUGAAAAUACGAUGUUUAACUGCAUCAGAAAUGUAAGACAAAAAAGAGAAAAAAGGAAAAAUCUCAAGUAGGAGGGCAGACUGGGAGAGCUGGGGUUAUUCAGCCUGGAGAAGAGAAGGCUCUGGGGAGACCUUAGAGCAGCUUCCAGUAUGGAAAGGGACUCCAGGAAAGCUGAGGAGAGGUUCUUGACCAGGGAGUGCAGGGACAGGACAAGGGGGAGCAAUUUUUGGCUGCAAGAGGGGAGAUUGAGAUGACAUCUGAGGAAGAAAUGUUUCCCUCUGAGGGUGGGGAGGCCCUGGCCCAGGUUGCCCAAAGCGGUGGUGGCUGCCCCAUCCCUGGAGGGGUUCCAGGCCAGGCUGGAUGGGGCUUGGAGCCCCUGAUCCAGUGGGAGGUGUCCCUGCCCAUGGCAGUGGGGUGGGACUGGAUGGGCUUUGAGAUCCCUUCCAACCCAAAUCAUCCCAUGAAUCUGUGAUUAGCGGCUGUAUUUUUAAACUCUUAUCCAGUUGGGCGCCUCCUGGAACACGUAGUGUUUUCAUCGGUUAGUGAGGUAAAUUUUAUACAGCUUUAGUUUGGGAGGAGAGUGGAAAAGAGUGAGACUGUGGGCAGCUGAUUCCGGCUCCCGUGCAGCAAAUUGUUGGAGUGGGUGACUGAAAGGGUGAGAAGAUGCGGGUGGUUCAGUACCCGGUUAGCGGGGACGAGUGGAGCGGGGUAACCUCGCUGCCCGUGCCUCUCCGCAGCACAGACUGGGGCUGUAGCCUCGCAGCGGUGGGAAGGAUUGACUCUACCCUCAGAGGGUGGUGGGGAACAGCCGAGCGCUGUCUCCUCUCCUGGAACAGAGAAAGGGAAGACCGUGCAGCUCCUCCCCUGGAGCUAGAGCUUCUUGGUCUGCCCCACAGUGCCUGGGCUGGGCCAGUAUCGGCUCUGUGGGGCUAACGAGGCGAGGGAGACGUGCUGGAGCUCAAGGAUACAGACUGAAGCAUUCUGUGAGGUCAGGGAGGGUUUUGGGCUGGGCUUGGUCCGAUGGAAUCCCACCUGGAUACCACCCAGGCUCUCAUAAUGCUUGAGAACCUUUGCUUCCCCCUCACUUUGUCUCAGAAUCAAGCAGGGGCUGAAGUGUUUCCAGGUAAACAGCAACACUCGGAGUGUUUCAAGACCCCAUCAUUAUGGCGUGGCUGCAGGGAUGCCCUUGGCCCUGGCUGUGAGAAAGGGUUUUAUUAAAGAUGAAGAGACAUUUGUGCUCCUCUUCAAAGAGGAUGAGUAGCAUUUGCUGCACAGUCCGAUUGUCACUCUGGUGGGACUGUAACCUACAUGAGCACAGUGCCCUGGGACAGUCUGUGAACGUGUUUAAAAUGAGAAGGGAAGGUGAAAUCGUAACAAUUAAUAUGAAGGGAAGAUCAGAUCUGUUCUACGUAGGGAGGGAUGGACAAGACCGAUCAGCUUGACUUGCUCGAUCUGUCUCUCCUCCAGUCGGAAGCACUGCUUUGUGCAUUCAGGAUGGCUUUUGUCUCACUUGGUUUUUCCCAUGAGGAUGCAUUUUCUUUGCACUCCUGGUGGUGUGCUGGCACAUUCUCCGGCCACAUGGGCAGCAGGAGAACAGGGUCUUCCAUGGGGUCGGCUGCUGUGCCAGAGGCUCUGACAUCUCCCUGGUGAUUCUCUCCUUCGUGGCACUCGCGACAGGAUUUUAUUGUUACUGCACACACACAAGUAGCAAAUUAUUGAGCCUUGCAAAAGGAAUUUGCCUCUUCCCUUCCUGGGGUUGAGGGACAUGUAGGGAGAAGCAUCACAUUCCACCACCCAAGACGUGUGAGGAGGGUCCGAGACGCACAGAUCUCUGGGCUGGAAGCAGCUCCGAGGCAGCUCAGUGCCUCUGCUGCACGGCCUCUCCGCAGGCGAUCCAGCCGUGUCCAGGCUCUCUGUCGGAGGAGAGAGGGUGAAAAUUCCUGGUCACAACGCGAUGUGGAGGAUGAGAGUCCAGUUAUGGAUCUUGUUGACAUCUCUAACCAGUCUGACGUCUUUCUGACUCGAAGCAAAGAAAAGGCAUCUCAGUGCAGGCGAUGGCUCUGUGUGGGACAGGGGGACAUCAAUAAAGCCAAAGACUGUGGGGCUGCUAACAGGAACAAGAGACUGUAGAUUCACCUGAUGUUGUUAUUUCGUGUUUACAAUAUUUAUUUUUAGUAACUGACUGCUAUUAUAUUAUAGAGAGGCUUCCUUAUUUUUGUACUUCUCCUCCCGGUUUCCUCAGUGUGGUGGUGUACCUCUCACCUCCCUUCGCCACAAUUGCUGCUCCGAGUCAAUGACAAAUAAAAGAGAUGAAAAAAAAAACCCAGCUCCCCAUUUUCUGGGGUUAGUUGUGAUGUGUUUGGGUUUC